Homo sapiens (human) is the source of this 1464-nucleotide long non-coding RNA. NCBI's taxonomy places the organism in Eukaryota, Metazoa, Chordata, Mammalia, Primates, Hominidae. The record is from Ensembl.
GGUGGCGUUUUAGCGGGAGAUCCGAGCGUCUCGGCUGGUGGAAGGGGCGAGGAGCUUUGCAGUUGUGUGCGAGUGUGUACAGGUGAGUUUGUCCGUACGCGUGAUUAAGUGUGUGCGUGUGAUCAAGUGUGGGGGCGAGUGUUGCGUGAGCAAACCUGUGAGAGGGUGAGAGUCCGUCCGUGUAGGUGAGGGAGCUAGCAAGAGUGUGAGCGAGUGCGAAUGUCCCUACAAGUGUGGGCGCGUGAUGUGUUUGAAGGUGUGUUUGUUCGAGAGGGUGUGUGUUGGGGUCAACGAGGGUGCAUGUGUGUGAGUGAGGAAGCCUGAGUGUGUGGUGUGUGCGCGAGCCAGCAAGCUGGAAUGGCUCUCGCGUGCUUGUAGAUCAUGAGCGUGACUUGGUGGCUUUCUGUGAUGGUAUUGGGUGUGUAUGGCUUUUUGCUGUCCAUGCAUGAUUGUGUUAGCUUGACUCGUGUUGGUGUUGUUUAUGUGGGAAUGUGAGGGAUUUAGUUCAUGAGAUUACGUGUGUGUUGCUCUGCAGUCUCAAGCUUGCUGGGUUAGCUGUUUCUGAAUAGGAUUUGACCCAAGUUCAGCGUCAGCUUUUCAAACAGCCUAAAAACUCUGGCCUUGGGCAUUGAGAAAUCAGAAAGUUUUUUUUUCUCUCUGUCCCUCUGACUAUAACAGUUGUGGAAGAAUUAGACAAUUCUAAGAAAGAAAGUUUCCUGAAUUAGCAUUAGGAAAACUAGACACAAAAAUCCCACUUUCUGAAAAAAUGAGAAACUUCCUAAUUGUAACUAAAAUGAUCAGUAAACAAGCCACUUGCUGGUUUGGAAGAAAGGAAACACACCUAUGUGUUCUCUUUCUGCCAACACUUGAAUUCUCUGGUCCAACUGUUACGCCGUCUACGUGACUUCCAUUAAGAACAAGCAGCACCCUUAAAUGCAUCUCAAGUGUUGUAUGUCGCUAAAGGCCAUGACCGGUUCUUGGUUUUCCUUAUCUCCAAGCUAAGCCUCAGUUUCUGCAUGCACAAAAUUAGGAAGAUAAUAUCCACCCAUCUACAACUCAAUGCAUUGAGUCACAUGAAAGUUUUGUAGACAGGAAAAGUUCUGUGGCACUCGGCCUGAUCAAGUCAGCUUUCCUGGGUGUUGCUGAGUUAACUAUAAGGAUUAUAUGGAAGGACCAUCCCUAGACUAAUUCUAGACCUGGCUCCUAAUGUGCAGGUCAGCAGUUCUUUCCGUGACUGGCAAGUCUGAGGUCAUUUGCAAGUUAAGGAAGAUAAAUGUACUGAUAUCUGACUUGGUUUGCGCCAGAGAUGAUUUUUUCAAAAGAUGUAUUAACUGGGUUGGAUGCAGUGGCUCACCCCUGUAAUACCAACACUUUGGGAGGCUAAAGCAGGAGGAUCGCUUGACCCUGGAGUUCAAGACCAGAUUGGGCAACAUAUCAAGACCCUAUCUCUACAAAAAUAAAAAA